GGCGCUUUAGCUCAGCUGGAUUAGAGCAUCUGCCUUCUAAGCAGAGGGUCGACGGUUCGAGCCCGCCAAGCGUCACUA
RNAcentral lists this transfer RNA (78 nucleotides) under Treponema sp. RNAcentral's name for it is "tRNA-Arg". It matches the Rfam family "tRNA". Rfam says of the family: Transfer RNA (tRNA) molecules are approximately 80 nucleotides in length. Their secondary structure includes four short double-helical elements and three loops (D, anti-codon, and T loops). Lineage: Bacteria; Pseudomonadati; Spirochaetota; Spirochaetia; Treponematales; Treponemataceae. RNAcentral also lists the same sequence under 1 other name. The record is from RNAcentral.